Molecule: long non-coding RNA, 844 nt
Organism: Haliotis rubra (blacklip abalone)
Lineage: Eukaryota; Metazoa; Mollusca; Gastropoda; Lepetellida; Haliotidae
Exons: 3
Source: RefSeq, a predicted model, not a curated record
GAGGACCUGGGUGAUGUUGCAUCAAGACUGCACCUUAAUUGUGCACCACUGAAGAAUGAGACGUUCCGUGUUUUGGACGUAUGUACGGGGUUGAGCGCUGAUCCAAGAGUUAACGUGAUAUUGAAACUCAUGAAUGGUGAACGGACAUAUAAUGGGUUGACAGGCGAUGUUGCAGUUCCAGUUCGCGACGAAGCCCAUGAUGUCAAUACAACAUGUUGUGUGGUUGGUCCUGGAACAAACUGCCUCGACCUCUCCCAACGACAACGGACAGCCGUAUGUUCACGCCCAGGUAAACCUAAAGCGAAUCCUCACAUGCGUUCGACAGGUCAUGCAGAUGAACCCACGUUGAGUGGUGUAGUAGUCAUCGUUGUUGGUGUGAUGUUGGCGGUUAGAGGCUUGUGAAUUACCUUGGCUUACCUCUUUUGAAGGAAGAUCGGACGAUAUUAUACGAGUCCGUAUGAACACCUGGCAAUGGAGACAAUAAAACGGUCCUAAAUGAUAUCCACAUGUUGCUUAAUUUGUCUUGCCUGAGGUCGUCCAAAGACAUAAAGUCACGCUUGACUUCAUCAGUGUUCCAUUCACGUCAUGGCGUGGUAGUUUGAUUGGAAGGUUGCCUGAAGGGACACGAUAAUUAGACAUUACCGCUUUGUGAAACACACGAUUAGUUGAAUGGCGCUGACCAAACAAACGUAAACGAUGGGACGCAACGUGUUACAUUGAUGACCUCUGGUUCCGAGGCGACUUAAUGGUUGAAUUUAAAAUAACGAGCAGAAGGUACUGCUAAAAUGUUCUGAGAGGGUGUCUUCCGAUUUAUGAGAAAUUCUGGAUAAAGUGUCACAAACUU